ACGUAGGGAGCGAGCGUUGUCCGGAAUUACUGGGUGUAAAGGGAGCGUAGGCGGGAUUGCAAGUCAGAUGUGAAAACUAUGGGCUUAACCCAUAGACUGCAUUUGAAACUGUAGUUCUUGAGUGAAGUAGAGGUAAGCGGAAUUCCUAGUGUAGCGGUGAAAUGCGUAGAUAUUAGGAGGAACAUCGGUGGCGAAGGCGGCUUACUGGGCUUUUACUGACGCUGAGGCUCGAAAGCGUGGGGAGCAAACAG
Molecule: ribosomal RNA, 251 nt
Filed under: uncultured bacterium
Lineage: Bacteria
Description: partial 16S ribosomal RNA
Rfam family: Bacterial small subunit ribosomal RNA
Source: RNAcentral